UACGGAGGGGGCUAGCGUUGUUCGGAAUUACUGGGCGUAAAGCGCGCGUAGGCGGAUCUGCAAGUCGGGGGUGAAAUCCCGAGGCUCAACCUCGGAACUGCCUUCGAUACUGCGGGUCUCGAGUCCGGGAGAGGUGAGUGGAAUUCCUGGUGUAGAGGUGAAAUUCGUAGAUAUUAGGAAGAACACCAGUGGCGAAGGCGGCUCACUGGCCCGGUACUGACGCUGAGGCGCGAAAGCGUGGGGAGCAAACAGG
This 253-nucleotide ribosomal RNA is filed under the name uncultured bacterium. RNAcentral describes it as "partial 16S ribosomal RNA". It matches the Rfam family "Bacterial small subunit ribosomal RNA", at positions 524 to 776 of the family's 1533-position model. The record is from RNAcentral.